UCUCAAUCCCAGGUGAGUUCUCGGUAGCCUCUGUCUCUCUUUCCCCCUCAAUAACUUCUCCUUGUGAUUUGCUAUAGUUUCUCAUCGUUUGAUUCUUAGUACCUGUAACUGCUUCGGUGAUAUAAAUAUCAGGUAUUGGUGAUUAAAUUCGAUUUGCUUCUGCUAGCCCUCAUAGAAUGUUUACUGGAGACAUUGAACUGGUGUGAUUCACUCAAUUGAAUAUUAUGCCUUUUUUGCCCUUUUCAUUUAUAAAAAAAAAAAAAUUAUGAAAUUGAUAACUGUACUACCCACAGCUUUUCCAAUUGAAUUUGUAAUAUCUAACUUGUAAUCCUUUGCUUUACUUUCUCAUCUAUAUCUUUGUAUGAUUAUUUCCGCUUUCCAUUUGAAAAAAAGGAAAAUGGUGAGAAGUUUUUUCUUUUUUCUUUUUUGGGGAGGAUGAGGUUAUAAAUUUGUAGAUUUGAUAUUGAUAGUGAGAGGUUGCUGUUAUUGUGAGAAAGGAUUUCCUAUUUUUAUUUUGUACUUUUGAUUUUGAUACAGAAAAUGUCAUUAGUUUCCUAUGAUUUUACAGUUUAGGUGCUUGGAAAAUAUAUUGCGAGAAUGUGUUAAAAGGAGCUGAUCUUUUUUUGUGCCAAAGAUUUUAAGGCUGAAGUAAAUUGAUAUCAGUUGCUUUUUCAAUGAAACAAAAGUCGUUUAUUGGUAAAGUGAAACAUACAACAAGAAAUGCUAAAAUGAUUUUCAGUUUUACAGAAUAAAAAGCCAAAAAUAUGUAGUGUCCUUAAUAUGUAAUACAUUUUUUUAAGUGGGUACUGAUGAAAUGUUAAAAAAUGAGUAUAUAGGUCACAUUUGGUUUGCUUUGAAAAUGCAAAUGUAAUGCCCUAAAAUAUGAUUCCAUUUCUUGUUAAGGCCUGUACCUACAAACUUUAGAUCUUUGGUUCUUAGAUUGAGUGGUUUCUUAAUAUGAUAUCAAACCCUUCCAAACAAAAAGUUCCAGAGUCUAAAUCAUGGUCGCCUUCAUUUAUUAAUUAAAAAUUUCAGCACAAGGUAUGAUGUGCUUGUUCACACUUCAAGUGCAACGAGCAUUCGUGUAAGGCGUGCUGUGGGUGUUAGAGAUAUGGAGCCUUACCUAUAAGUUUGAAGUUUGAACUUUUAGGUUGAGUGGUUUUUUGACAAAGUUAAUCCAACAUACUGUUAGAUUGUACAAAUCAAAGUGGACAAGCUGGUCUUCUCUUAUUUAUAUUUUAAUCCGAUGUCACACACAAUUUCCAUAUGUUGUGCUUGCAAUUGCAAUUUUAAAUUUCGCAUUAGAGUUUAGUUUUUCUUCUUUUUCAUUUCUUCUGUUUUCAAUUUGCAUAAACUUUUAGAGGAUCAAGUUUCUCUUUCAAAUUUCCAGUUAGAUUUUCUCUGUCCUGGCAUUGGAAUUCCAUUUAAUUGGCUAUUUUUUUUUACGCAGUAUGAAAUUUUCACGUUGAUUGUAGCCUCACUCAUAUGGAUGCAGAUAUGCCUUUUUGAUGUGCAAAGUUGAAAAUCAUGAAUGCGUUCAAGGCCCAAGUCCCAAUUGCAUGGAGUCCUAACUUAUACAUAACCUUGGUGAGGGGCAUUCCAGGAACUAGGAGACUUCACAGACGUACCUUAGAGGCAUUGCGUCUUCGCAAAUGCAACCGUACCGUCAUGCGAUGGAAUACUCCCACUGUUAGGGGAAUGCUUCAACAGGUAAAGAGAUUAGUUGUGAUUGAGACAGAAGAGAUGUACAAGGCCCGCAAACAAAAUGAAGCAAACCAUCAAGCUCUACGUGCCCCAUUGGUUGUGAACCACUCACCUGCGUACACAAGCAAUUCUCCCUAGAGCAUGCAUCUGUUUUAUAUUUUUCUUUAGAGGUCAGCUUCUGUUUCUUUAGUGUUCUACUGUUGCUUAUGUGAUUUUUUUUUUCUUUUUUUGUAGUGUAUUUUCUGAAGUACAGCUGAUUUAAUGAACUGAAUUCUAAAAGUUUUGUUUAGUGCACAUAAAGGAUACCAUUCUAUAUGAACUUUUUGGUGUGGUCAUUCCAAAUAUAUUUUGGAAGUUCUCAAGUAGCAAUAUUAGAAUCGUAAUAGACAAUUUGUACUGGUAUUGAGAAUUCUGUUUUGAUAAACGAUUGGUAUUUGGAUAUACAGGUCUGAAAAUUGCUUCUUU
RNAcentral lists this unclassified non-coding RNA (2169 nucleotides) under Hevea brasiliensis (rubber tree). Lineage: Eukaryota; Viridiplantae; Streptophyta; Magnoliopsida; Malpighiales; Euphorbiaceae. The record is from RNAcentral.